GACGGGGGGUCCAAGCGUUGUUCGGAAUCAUUGGGCGUAAAGCGUGUGCAGGUGGCUCUGUAAGUCGGAUGUGAAAUCCCCAGGCUCAACUUGGGAACUGCAUCCGAUACUGGAUGGCUUGAAUUCGGGAGAGGGAUGCAGAAUUCCAGGUGUAGCGGUGAAAUGCGUAGAUAUCUGGAGGAAUACCGGUGGCGAAGGCGGCAUCCUGGACCGACAUUGACGCUGAGGAGCGAAAGCUAGGGGAGCAAACGGG
RNAcentral lists this ribosomal RNA (253 nucleotides) under uncultured bacterium. RNAcentral's name for it is "partial 16S ribosomal RNA". It matches the Rfam family "Bacterial small subunit ribosomal RNA", at positions 524 to 776 of the family's 1533-position model. The record is from RNAcentral.